Long non-coding RNA from Spinacia oleracea (spinach), 1068 nucleotides. RefSeq lists it as uncharacterized. The transcript is spliced from 3 exons. NCBI's taxonomy places the organism in Eukaryota, Viridiplantae, Streptophyta, Magnoliopsida, Caryophyllales, Amaranthaceae. The record is from RefSeq and is a predicted model, not a curated record.
GAAAAAAAAAAAAAAAGAAACCCUCCAUCCUUCUUCCCCUCUCACUGCACGUAGAAAAGGAAAAGAAAAACUCUCAAGCCUCUUUUGCUCCAGCCGUCGCAUAGCCGCCGCGCAGCCACCACCGGCGUUCUCCUCCGGCCGCCACCACCGCACGACCACCGUGCCCCGCGGCCGACCACCGUUCUCCACCUCCGCAGUCAACCACCACCGGCGUGCUGCACCAUCGUUGCUUCUUGCUCUCCCUCCUCACGUCAAUCCCCUUUAUUCUUUGCUUGCUUCACCACCAACCGUCGACCACCUCGUGCACCGUCGCCCACGACAGCAGCCAGCCCAACCGCAACCGCUCGCGCCGCCGUGCCUCUGACCGCCGGCCGCCCACUCUUCUCUCCUUAUUUGGCGGAUAAUUCUCUCUAGGCGACUUUUGAAAGUGUUAAGGUGGCCUAUCAGUUUGUUUACACAAGGUACGUACAUACCUGUGUGCUUGGAACGUGUGCUAAUUGUUGAAACCAUGUUGAAUCUUGUUGUUGAACUUGGUUAUGUUGAUAUUAUUGUUGAACUUGGUGAUGUUGAUAUUAUGGACGAACUGGGUUAUAUUGAAUGUGCAUGUUUAAUACUGUUGGACAAACUUAUUGAACUUAUUUUGCACUAUAAGAACUGUAACAUGUUAGUAUGGAUGUUUGAUACAAACAUGUUGGUUGGGAACACUAGAUUAUUCUAUAUGAUUGGGUUGGAUCAAUUGGUUGUUGUUCCCUUUCUAUCUUUUCACUACUUUAUAAGGGCGGAGGACCUUGUUUAGUAAGUUGAAACUUUAUGCCCAUAUACAGGGUUGCUCAUGGUUAAAGGAAAGGUUGGUUAAGUUGGAAUGAGUCUUGAUUGAUGCUUUUAUGAUCACUUACUUAAUUCCAAGAUAAAAACAGUUGUGAACAAAUGUGAAUUGUCUGUCUUAUGUAAUGGUUGAGUCAUAACGGAAUCUCAAUUUGUAAAUCAUGUAAAGUGAAACUGAAUAGCAAUAGCUUUAGACUGUGCACGUCUGAAGUGACGGACAAACAGGAGUUGGGGUUCAUGGUG